Molecule: transfer RNA, 50 nt
Filed under: Veronica densifolia
Lineage: Eukaryota; Viridiplantae; Streptophyta; Magnoliopsida; Lamiales; Plantaginaceae
Also listed under: 22 other names
Description: partial tRNA-Leu
Source: RNAcentral
GAAAAUCCGUCGAAUUUAAAAAUCGUGAGGGUUCAAGUCCCUCUAUCCCC